This 402-nucleotide ribosomal RNA is filed under the name uncultured bacterium. Its description in RNAcentral is "bacterial SSU rRNA". It matches the Rfam family "Bacterial small subunit ribosomal RNA", at positions 29 to 418 of the family's 1533-position model. The record is from RNAcentral.
AAUCAACGCUGGCGGCGUGCCUAACACAUGCAAGUCCAACGCGAAAGUCCCGCAAGGGAUGAGUAGAGUGGCAAACGGGUGAGUAACGCGUGGGCGACCUACCUUCGAGUGGGGGAUAACCUUCCGAAAGGAGGGCUAAUACCGCAUGACAUCCCGUGUUUGGAGACACGGACAUCAAAGCCGGGGAUCGCAAGACCUGGCGCUUGGAGAGGGGCCCGCGUCCGAUUAGCUAGUUGGUGGGGAACGGCCCACCAAGGCUCCGAUCGGUAUCCGGCCUGAGAGGGCGGACGGACACACUGGGACUGAGACACGGCCCAGACUCCUACGGGAGGCAGCAGUGGGGAAUUGUUCGCAAUGGGCGCAAGCCUGACGACGCAACGCCGCGUGGAGGAUGAAGACCUC